CUACUUUAUUCAGAUAUUCUCCAGAUUCCUAAAGAUUAGAGAUCAUUUCUCAUUCUCCUAGGAGUACUCACUUCAGGAAGCAACCAGAUAAAAAGAGGUGCAACGGAAGCCAGAACAUUCCUCCUGGAAAUUCAACCUGUUUCGCAGUUUCUCGAGGAAUCAGCAUUCAGUCAAUCCGGGCCGGGAGCAGUCAUCUGUGUCGGAAUGGAUCUUGAAGGGGACCGCAAUGGAGGAGCAAAGAAGAAGAACUUUUUUAAACUGAACAAUAAAA
This 271-nucleotide long non-coding RNA is filed under the name Homo sapiens (human). RNAcentral describes it as "non-protein coding lnc-ABCB1-2:6". The record is from RNAcentral. Lineage: Eukaryota; Metazoa; Chordata; Mammalia; Primates; Hominidae.